GACGAACCGUACGAACGUUAUUCGGAAUUACUGGGCUUGAAGGGUGCGUAAGCUGCGCGGCAAGUUGGGUGUGAAAUCCCUCGGCUCAACCGAGGAACUGCGCCCAAAACUACCGUGCUCGAGGGAGACAGAGGUGAGCGGAACUUAGGGUGGAGCGGUGAAAUGCGUUGAUAUCCUAAGGAACACCCGUGGCGAAAGCGGCUCACUGGGUCUCUUCUGACGCUGAGGCACGAAAGCUAGGGUAGCGAACGGG
Molecule: ribosomal RNA, 253 nt
Filed under: uncultured bacterium
Lineage: Bacteria
Description: partial 16S ribosomal RNA
Rfam family: Bacterial small subunit ribosomal RNA
Source: RNAcentral